UUUUUUAAAAAAAUUUCAGACCCAAAACUGUUUCAAAAUGACUCCUAGUCAAAGAUGAUUAUUUAUUGAGUAUUUGAAGUAAAUAUCUAUUUAAUGUUUUAAUAAGUAUGUUGAAAUAUUUAAUAAUUUUAAAUAUUUAAUAAUUUUAAAAUUGCAUAAAUACAAAUGAAAUAUUAUGUAAAAUAUUUGUUUUUUGUUAUAGAAAUAUUUGAUACGCAUUCACCAUUCAACAAAUCAUUUAAACUCUCAUAUCUGCUAGAUCCACACUUGUUCUACAUGAUCCGCUUUAUCUGCUUUAUCCGCUUGAUCUGCAUUUUCCAUUAAAGUUAAUAAGUAAAUUUGUUAUGGUCUAGGUGUGGAGGAUCGAUAAAACUUUAUAAUAUUAAUAGAUAUAAAUAAUGAAAUUGAUAGAGAAGCUUUUACAUUUUUUAUUUAAUUAUCAUAUUUAAACAAGCAGUUGACAAGUUUAACACAUUUUCUUCUUUUUGUUUUUUCUAAAUAACCUUUUUAACUAGUUUCUUUUUUAGUUGUAAAUUAACGAUAUAACCCAUUAAAUAUUAUAAACAAAAUUUGGUAUAAAAAGUUUGAUUAUGUUAUUUUCUUAAAUAUAUUAAUUUUUUGGUCAACUUUUUGCAUAUAUAAUUAUACAAUAAUUUUUUUGCCAUAAACAAAAAUCUUAGUUACAUAAUACACUCUCUGUUAAUUUUAUACUAGAUAAAGAUGGACGACUUCAUAACAAAAAUAAAAUUUAA
Molecule: small RNA, 752 nt
Filed under: Arabidopsis thaliana (thale cress)
Lineage: Eukaryota; Viridiplantae; Streptophyta; Magnoliopsida; Brassicales; Brassicaceae
Description: ATSL154190
Source: RNAcentral